UACGUAGGUGGCGAGCGUUGUCCGGAAUUACUGGGCGUAAAGGAUGCGUAGGCGGAAUCUUAAGUCAGAUGUGAAAUCCCCGGGCUCAACCCGGGAAUAGCAUUUGAAACUGGGGUUCUAGAGUGCAGGAGAGGAAAGCGGAAUUCCUAGUGUAGCGGUGAAAUGCGUAGAUAUUAGGAAGAACACCAGUGGCGAAGGCGGCUUUCUGGACUGUAACUGACGCUGAGGCAUGAAAGCGUGGGGAGCAAACAGG
This 253-nucleotide ribosomal RNA is filed under the name uncultured Proteiniclasticum sp. RNAcentral's name for it is "partial 16S ribosomal RNA". It matches the Rfam family "Bacterial small subunit ribosomal RNA", at positions 524 to 776 of the family's 1533-position model. The record is from RNAcentral. Lineage: Bacteria; Bacillati; Bacillota; Clostridia; Eubacteriales; Clostridiaceae.